UACGGAGGGGGCAAGCGUUGUUCGGAUUUACUGGGCGUAAAGGGAGCGUAGGCGGUUGAUCAAGUCCGGUGUGAAAGCUUCACCACUCAACGGGAAGAGGUCACUGGAAACUGGUCGGCUAGAGUAAGGUAGAGGCAAGCGGAAUUCCUGGUGUAGCGGUGGAAUGUGUAGAUAUCAGGAAGAACAUCUGUGGCGAAGGCGGCUUGCUGGGCCUUUACUGACGCUGAGGCUCGAAAGCGUGGGGAGCAAACGGG
This 254-nucleotide ribosomal RNA is filed under the name uncultured bacterium. RNAcentral describes it as "partial 16S ribosomal RNA". It matches the Rfam family "Bacterial small subunit ribosomal RNA", at positions 524 to 776 of the family's 1533-position model. The record is from RNAcentral.